UCAAACUUGGUCAUUUAGAGGAAGUAAAAGUCGUAACAAGGUUUCCGUAGGUGAACCUGCGGAAGGAUCAUUAACAAUUAUCCAACUCCUGGAUAAAAAUUAUCCAUAUCCACCUUGUGUGAACCAUGUAUCGUUUAUUGGCAGGUGUAACCACUUUUCAUUUGCGAGAAGGGGUUAAGAUGGUAAGGUUUAUUCCUCCAUCUAUGGACGGAGGACAUUCGUUCAGCCUGCCAAUUUUAUAUGUCUAUACACGUCUAAACCAUGUACGACUGAAUUUAUUUUAAUUAAAUAAUAAAUACAACUUUCAACAACGGAUCUCUUGGCUCUCGCAUCAAUGAAGAACGCAGC
This 348-nucleotide unclassified non-coding RNA is filed under the name uncultured fungus. RNAcentral describes it as "partial contains small subunit ribosomal RNA, internal transcribed spacer 1, and 5.8S ribosomal RNA". The stretch from base 1 to 73 matches the Rfam family "Eukaryotic small subunit ribosomal RNA", at positions 1759 to 1831 of the family's 1831-position model. Lineage: Eukaryota; Fungi. The record is from RNAcentral.